GCUGUGCACUGAAGACGGACACUGAUCCCUGAGUCAGGAUGAACCACAACGGGCAUCUCGCAGGCACGUCCCCCCACAGAGCAGCCAUCCACUGACAACUGGCAGUCCUCCGAUGUUGAGACAAUAUAAACACGCCUAAGGUAAAUGCAGGAUUUUGUCAUCCUUGGCAGAGGACACAUCACCUGCCAAUCCCAGCUGGUUACUCAGCAAGGAAGAUCUCCUGCCCUGCAAAGAAGCAACUUUCAAACUCAUGAAACAAGUGAAAGCUUACCAUAAUAAACAAAAUAUAUAUUUUUUAAAUAUAAGAAAUUAAAUGUUUGUUAUCCUAUCCAA
Penaeus indicus is the source of this 333-nucleotide long non-coding RNA. RefSeq lists it as uncharacterized. NCBI's taxonomy places the organism in Eukaryota, Metazoa, Arthropoda, Malacostraca, Decapoda, Penaeidae. The transcript is spliced from 2 exons. The record is from RefSeq and is a predicted model, not a curated record.